Molecule: ribosomal RNA, 1436 nt
Filed under: uncultured organism
Description: 16S ribosomal RNA
Rfam family: Bacterial small subunit ribosomal RNA
Source: RNAcentral
CAGGAUGAACGCUAGCUACAGGCUUAACACAUGCAAGUCGAGGGGCAUCAGGAAGAAAGCUUGCUUUCUUUGCUGGCGACCGGCGCACGGGUGAGUAACACGUAUCCAACCUGCCCUUUACUCGGGGAUAGCCUUUCGAAAGAAAGAUUAAUACCCGAUAGCAUAAUGAUUCCGCAUGGUUUCAUUAUUAAAGGAUUCCGGUAAAGGAUGGGGAUGCGUUCCAUUAGGUUGUUGGUGAGGUAACGGCCCACCAAGCCUUCGAUGGAUAGGGGUUCUGAGAGGAAGGUCCCCCACAUUGGAACUGAGACACGGUCCAAACUCCUACGGGAGGCAGCAGUGAGGAAUAUUGGUCAAUGGGCGCUAGCCUGAACCAGCCAAGUAGCGUGAAGGAUGAAGGCUCUAUGGGUCGUAAACUUCUUUUAUAUAAGAAUAAAGUGCAGUAUGUAUACUGUUUUGUAUGUAUUAUAUGAAUAAGGAUCGGCUAACUCCGUGCCAGCAGCCGCGGUAAUACGGAGGAUCCGAGCGUUACCCGGAUUUAUUGGGUUUAAAGGGAGCGUAGGUGGACUGGUAAGUCAGUUGUGAAAGUUUGCGGCUCAACCGUAAAAUUGCAGUUGAUACUGUCAGUCUUGAGUACAGUAGAGGUGGGCGGAAUUCGUGGUGUAGCGGUGAAAUGCUUAGAUAUCACGAAGAACUCCGAUUGCGAAGGCAGCUCACUGGACUGCAACUGACACUGAUGCUCGAAAGUGUGGGUAUCAAACAGGAUUAGAUACCCUGGUAGUCCACACAGUAAACGAUGAAUACUCGCUGUUUGCGAUAUACAGUAAGCGGCCAAGCGAAAGCAUUAAGUAUUCCACCUGGGGAGUACGCCGGCAACGGUGAAACUCAAAGGAAUUGACGGGGGCCCGCACAAGCGGAGGAACAUGUGGUUUAAUUCGAUGAUACGCGAGGAACCUUACCCGGGCUUAAAUUGCAGUGGAAUGAUGUGGAAACAUGUCAGUGAGCAAUCACCGCUGUGAAGGUGCUGCAUGGUUGUCGUCAGCUCGUGCCGUGAGGUGUCGGCUUAAGUGCCAUAACGAGCGCAACCCUUAUCUUUAGUUACUAACAGGUUAUGCUGAGGACUCUAGAGAGACUGCCGUCGUAAGAUGUGAGGAAGGUGGGGAUGACGUCAAAUCAGCACGGCCCUUACGUCCGGGGCUACACACGUGUUACAAUGGGGGGUACAGAAGGCAGCUAGCGGGUGACCGUAUGCUAAUCCCAAAAUCCUCUCUCAGUUCGGAUCGAAGUCUGCAACCCGACUUCGUGAAGCUGGAUUCGCUAGUAAUCGCGCAUCAGCCACGGCGCGGUGAAUACGUUCCCGGGCCUUGUACACACCGCCCGUCAAGCCAUGGGAGCCGGGGGUACCUGAAGUACGUAACCGCAAGGAUCGUCCUAGGGUA